ACGAACGCUGGCGGCGUGCUUAACACAUGCAAGUCGAGCGGUAAGGCCCUUUCGGGGUACGACGAGCGGCGAACGGGUGAGUAACACGUGGGUGACCUCGCCCUCAGCUCUGGGAGUAAGCCUGGGAAACUGGGUCUAAUACUGGAUAUGACUCCACGGUGCAUGUCGGUGGGGUGGAAAGCCUUGUGCGGCUGAGGAUGGGCCCGCGGCCUAUCAGCUU
RNAcentral lists this ribosomal RNA (220 nucleotides) under uncultured bacterium. Its description in RNAcentral is "partial 16S ribosomal RNA". It matches the Rfam family "Bacterial small subunit ribosomal RNA", at positions 29 to 247 of the family's 1533-position model. The record is from RNAcentral.